ACAGAUGCUAAUACCGCAUAGAUCCAAUAACCGCAUGGUUCUUGGCUGAAAGAUGGCGUAAGCUAUCGCUUUUGGAUGGACCCGCGGCGUAUUAGCUAGUUGGUGAGGUAAUGGCUCACCAAGGCGAUGAUACGUAGCCGAACUGAGAGGUUGAUCGGCCACAUUGGGACUGAGACACGGCCCAAACUCCUACGGGAGGCAGCAGUAGGGAAUCUUCCACAAUGGACGCAAGUCUGAUGGAGCAACGCCGCGUGAGUGAAGAAGGCUUUCGGGUCGUAAAACUCUGUUGUUGGAGAAGAAUGGUCGGCAGAGUAACUGUUGUCGGCGUGACGGUAUCCAACCAGAAAGCCACGGCUAACUACGUGCCAGCAGCCGCGGUAAUACGUAGGUGGCAAGCGUUAUCCGGAUUUAUUGGGCGUAAAGCGAGCGCAGGCGGUUUUUUAAGUCUGAUGUGAAAGCCCUCGGCUUAACCGAGGAAGCGCAUCGGAAACUGGGAAACUUGAGUGCAGAAGAGGACAGUGG
Molecule: ribosomal RNA, 522 nt
Filed under: Lacticaseibacillus paracasei
Lineage: Bacteria; Bacillati; Bacillota; Bacilli; Lactobacillales; Lactobacillaceae
Description: bacterial SSU rRNA
Rfam family: Bacterial small subunit ribosomal RNA
Source: RNAcentral